This 253-nucleotide ribosomal RNA is filed under the name uncultured bacterium. RNAcentral's name for it is "partial 16S ribosomal RNA". It matches the Rfam family "Bacterial small subunit ribosomal RNA", at positions 524 to 776 of the family's 1533-position model. The record is from RNAcentral.
UACGGAGGGUGCAAGCGUUAUCCGGAUUCACUGGGUUUAAAGGGUGCGUAGGUGGGUCUGUAAGUCCGUGGUGAAAUCUCCGAGCUUAACUUGGAAACUGCCAUGGAUACUAUAGAUCUUGAAUACUGUGGAGGUUAGCGGAAUAUGUCAUGUAGCGGUGAAAUGCUUAGAUAUGACAUAGAACACCAAUAGCGAAGGCAGCUCGCUGGGACGUUACUGACACUGAGGCGCGAAAGCGUGGGGAGCGAACAGG